This 341-nucleotide long non-coding RNA is filed under the name Mytilus galloprovincialis (Mediterranean mussel). Lineage: Eukaryota; Metazoa; Mollusca; Bivalvia; Mytilida; Mytilidae. The record is from RNAcentral.
GUACUAUGUCCCUUCUUUACUUAAAAUAAUAACAUUAAUAUUCAUUAAUAUUCAUAUGACAAAUAGGACGACGAAAUUCGAUAUUAGCUUAAAAAACUCGAACAAACUUAAUGAAGCGAAGACUAGUAUGUUUAUUUAAGGAUAUAUCAUUGAGCAAAAUUAUCGUUGAAGGUUAUAGAACUCUUUAGAAAUCAGGUUCGGUAGGUUUAUUCUUUUGAAAACUGCUAUAUAAAAUAUGAGUCUAUUUAUAUUUUAAUAAUAUCUCCGAUAGUAAAAAGAGAUUGACUAAUACUAUCAUGAUUCAAGAUAAUCGUCUUACAAUAUUUUUUUAAAUACGGGCC